CCUACGGGGGGCAGCAGUGGGGAAUAUUGCACAAUGGGGGGAACCCUGAUGCAGCGACGCCGCGUGAAGGAAGAAGUAUUUCGGUAUGUAAACUUCUAUCAGCAGGGAAGAAAAUGACGGUACCUGACUAAGAAGCCCCGGCUAACUACGUGCCAGCAGCCGCGGUAAUACGUAGGGGGCAAGCGUUAUCCGGAUUUACUGGGUGUAAAGGGAGCGUAGGCGGCAGUGCAAGUCAGAAGUGAAAGCCCAAGGCUCAACCAUGGGACUGCUUUUGAAACUGUACAGCUAGAUUGCAGGAGAGGUAAGUGGAAUUCCUAGUGUAGCGGUGAAAUGCGUAGAUAUUAGGAGGAACACCAGUGGCGAAGGCGGCAUGCCGGCUCCACACUGACGCUGAGGCACGAAAGCGUGGGUAUCGAACAGGAUUAGAUACCCGGGUAGUC
This 440-nucleotide ribosomal RNA is filed under the name uncultured bacterium. Its description in RNAcentral is "partial 16S ribosomal RNA". It matches the Rfam family "Bacterial small subunit ribosomal RNA", at positions 338 to 795 of the family's 1533-position model. The record is from RNAcentral.